AUGCCACCGGGAUUACCGCCUAUUCGAGGGAUUGAGCAUCAGAUUGACUUAAUUCCCGGUGCUUCACUGCCAAACCGUGCACCAUACCGUACCAAUCCAGAGGAGACGAAGGAGAUUAUGCGUCAAGUACAAGAGCUUCUCGACAAAGGUUAUAUACGCGAAUCCCUUAGUCCUUGUGCUGUUCCUAUUAUUCUAGUGCCGAAAAAGGAUGGUACAUCACGUAUGUGUGUUGAUUGUAGAGGCAUUAAUAAUAUUACUAUUCGUUAUCGUCAUCCUAUUCCUAGGCUAGAUGAUAUGCUUGAUGAAUUGAGUGGCUCUACAAUAUUCUCCAAAGUUGAUUUGCGUAGUGGCUACCAUCAAAUUCGUAUGAAAUUGGGAGAUGAAUGGAAAACAGCAUUUAAAACUAAGUUUGGAUUAUAUGAGUGGUUAGUCAUGCCUUUUGGGUUAACUAAUGCACCCAGUACUUUCAUGAGAUUAAUGAACGAAGUUUUGCGUGCUUUCAUUGGACGAUUUGUGGUAGUUUACUUUGAUGACAUAUUGAUUUAUAGUAGAUCUUUGGAAGAACAUUUGGAACAUUUACGUGCUGUUUUUAUUGCUCUACGUGAUGCACGUUUGUUUGGUAACCUUGGGAAGUGCACCUUUUGCACCGACCGAGUAUCUUUUCUUGGCUAUGUUGUUACUCCACAGGGAAUUGAAGUUGAUAAAGCCAAGAUUGAAGCUAUGAGAGUUGGCCGCAACCCAAAACGGUCACACAAGUGA
This 759-nucleotide ribosomal RNA is filed under the name Triticum aestivum (bread wheat). RNAcentral's name for it is "partial small subunit ribosomal RNA". The record is from RNAcentral. Lineage: Eukaryota; Viridiplantae; Streptophyta; Magnoliopsida; Poales; Poaceae.